Long non-coding RNA from Bactrocera dorsalis (oriental fruit fly), 474 nucleotides. RefSeq lists it as uncharacterized. Lineage: Eukaryota; Metazoa; Arthropoda; Insecta; Diptera; Tephritidae. The record is from RefSeq and is a predicted model, not a curated record. The transcript is spliced from 3 exons.
UAUAAUAGGGGUAUUCUCUUGCUCUUGCAAACCCCGGUGCACGGUGCAAGCAUUGCAAAUUUACAACGGCACAACAACAAACACACGCAGAAAAAUAUUUGCAAGGGCUGUGAAAUAUGUCAGACCUAAACCCGUGUAUAUUAGCGUGCAAUGUCACGCAAAAAUAAAAUUGCAACCCUGUUGUAGUUGCCAUUUUACAUAAAGACAUAUUACGUCGUUAAAUUGUUGAGAAAGUUUUCCACAAAUAUGAAUAGCGAAGUUGCGCCCCCAGCAAAGAGGAAAAGGCAGCAGCCAAACAAGAAGUGGAAGGAGAGUGAGGUGCACUCUAUAAUUGAGUUUUUAAUGGAAGAGCCGGAAUUUGAGGCUCCAACUGCGCAAUUGUUUUAUAAACGAUUUUUACGUAACUCGCAGUUGGAUGUCUCAUGGGAUCUGGUGCGGUGGAAGGUCCGACAUUUGAAGGCGCAGUACCGUAAA